CACAUAGUUAGCCGGUGUUUCUUUUGUAGGUACCGUCACUUUCGCUUCUUCCCUACUGAAAGCGGUUUACAACCCGAAGGCCUUCAUCCCGCACGCGGCGUCGCUGGGUCAGAGUUUCCUCCAUUGUCCAAUAUUCCCCA
Molecule: ribosomal RNA, 140 nt
Filed under: uncultured bacterium
Lineage: Bacteria
Description: partial 16S ribosomal RNA
Source: RNAcentral